RNAcentral lists this ribosomal RNA (429 nucleotides) under Gemmatimonadota bacterium. Its description in RNAcentral is "Gemmatimonadetes bacterium partial 16S ribosomal RNA". It matches the Rfam family "Bacterial small subunit ribosomal RNA", at positions 355 to 776 of the family's 1533-position model. The record is from RNAcentral. Lineage: Bacteria; Pseudomonadati; Gemmatimonadota.
UAGGGAAUCUUCGGCAAUGGACGAAAGUCUGACCGAGCAACGCCGCGUGAGUGAAGAAGGUUUUCGGAUCGUAAAACUCUGUUGUUAGAGAAGAACAAGGACGUUAGUAACUGAACGUCCCCUGACGGUAUCUAACCAGAAAGCCACGGCUAACUACGUGCCAGCAGCCGCGGUAAUACGUAGGUGGCAAGCGUUGUCCGGAUUUAUUGGGCGUAAAGCGAGCGCAGGCGGUUUCUUAAGUCUGAUGUGCAAGACCCCGGCUCAACCGGGGAGGGUCAUUGGAAACGGGGAGACUUGAGUGCAGAAGAGGAGAGUGGAAGUCCAUGUGUAGCGGUGAAAUGCGUAGAUAUAUGGAGGAACACAAGUGGCGAAGGCGGCUCUCUGGUCUGUAACUGAAGCUGAGGCUCGAAAGCGUGGGGAGCAAACAGG